RNAcentral lists this ribosomal RNA (835 nucleotides) under Xylographa parallela. RNAcentral's name for it is "eukaryotic LSU rRNA". The stretch from base 478 to 631 matches the Rfam family "5.8S ribosomal RNA". The record is from RNAcentral. Lineage: Eukaryota; Fungi; Ascomycota; Lecanoromycetes; Baeomycetales; Xylographaceae.
UCUUGGUCAUUUAGAGGAAGUAAAAGUCGUAACAAGGUUUCCUUCCGCCGGGCUGACCCCCGGAAGCCUUUCGCGGCGACUAUAAAUACCCGUGCAGUCUAGGGGUUCUCCCUGGGCCACGCCAUCACUGUGCUGGAAAGCCCUUAUAUGUGGGUCAACCUGCAGCCGGUCUCCCCCGGGGACACGGUUCACAGAUCAAACGAUGGUGGCCACCGGCCCGGUGGUUCAGAUAUGAUCGAAAUCCCCCGAGGUUUCUCGGGGGGAGGCUUUGUUCCGUAGGUGAACCUGCGGAAGGAUCAUUAACAGAGAAGAGGGUCCCUCGGGGCCCAAACUCACCACCCUUUGUGAACUUACCUUUGUUGCUUUGGCGAGCCGUGGGGCCUUCGGACCCCCCGUCGACUCCGGUGGACGUGUGCCCGUCAGAGACCCUCUCAAUUCUGAUAAUUAGUGAAGUCCGAGUUAAAAUAUAAUCGUUAAAACUUUCAACAACGGAUCUCUUGGUUCUGGCAUCGAUGAAGAACGCAGCGAAAUGCGAUAAGUAAUGUGAAUUGCAGAAUUCAGUGAAUCAUCGAAUCUUUGAACGCACAUUGCGCCCUCUGGUAUUCCGGGGGGCAUGCCUGUUCGAGCGUCAUUACACCUCUCAAGCCCAGCUUGGUAUUGGGCGUCGUCCCCUGGGGCGCGCCCGAAAGUUAGCGGCGACGCGGUCGGUCUUCAAGCGUAGUAAAACUUCUGUUUCGCUUUCGGAGGCCGGGCGUGCCCGCCGGAUAACCCCCAAUUUUUCAAUGGUUGACCUCGGAUCAGGUAGGGAUACCCGCUGAACUUAAGCAUAUCAAUA